Small nuclear RNA from Homo sapiens (human), 107 nucleotides. The record is from Ensembl. Lineage: Eukaryota; Metazoa; Chordata; Mammalia; Primates; Hominidae.
GUACUCACUUCUGCAGCACAUAUACUAAAAUUAGAAUGAUACAGAGAAGAUUAGCAUAGUCCCUGUGCAAGAAUGACACACAAAUUCAUGAAGAAUUUCAUAUUUUU